CUUAAAUUGAAGAGUUUGAUCAUGGCUCAGAUUGAACGCUGGCGGCAGGCCUAACACAUGCAAGUCGAGCGGUAGCACAGGAGAGCUUGCUCUCUGGGUGACGAGCGGCGGACGGGUGAGUAAUGUCUGGGAAACUGCCUGAUGGAGRGGGAUAACUACUGGAAACGGUAGCUAAUACCGCAUAACCUCGCAAGAGCAAAGAGGGGGACCUUCGGGCCUCUCGCCAUCAGAUGUGCCCAGAUGGGAUUAGCUAGUAGGUGAGGUAAUGGCUCACCUAGGCGACGAUCCCUAGCUGGUCUGAGAGGAUGACCAGCCACACUGGAACUGAGACACGGUCCAGACUCCUACGGGAGGCAGCAGUGGGGAAUAUUGCACAAUGGGCGCAAGCCUGAUGCAGCCAUGCCGCGUGUGUGAAGAAGGCCUUCGGGUUGUAAAGCACUUUCAGCGGGGAGGAAGGCGAUAAGGUUAAUAACCUUGUCGAUUGACGUUACCCGCAGAAGAAGCACCGGCUAACUCCGUGCCAGCAGCCGCGGUAAUACGGAGGGUGCAAGCGUUAAUCGGAAUGACUGGGCGUAAAGCGCACGCAGGCGGUCUGUUAAGUUGGAUGUGAAAUCCCCGGGCUUAACCUGGGAACUGCAUUCAAAACUGACAGGCUAGAGUCUUGUAGAGGGGGGUAGAAUUCCAGGUGUAGCGGUGAAAUGCGUAGAGAUCUGGAGGAAUACCGGUGGCGAAGGCGGCCCCCUGGACAAAGACUGACGCUCAGGUGCGAAAGCGUGGGGAGCAAACAGGAUUAGAUACCCUGGUAGUCCACGCUGUAAACGAUGUCGACUUGGAGGUUGUGCCCUUGAGGCGUGGCUUCCGGAGCUAACGCGUUAAGUCGACCGCCUGGGGAGUACGGCCGCAAGGUUAAAACUCAAAUGAAUUGACGGGGGCCCGCACAAGCGGUGGAGCAUGUGGUUUAAUUCGAUGCAACGCGAAGAACCUUACCUACUCUUGACAUCCAGAGAAUUUGCUAGAGAUAGCUUAGUGCCUUCGGGAACUCUGAGACAGGUGCUGCAUGGCUGUCGUCAGCUCGUGUUGUGAAAUGUUGGGUUAAGUCCCGCAACGAGCGCAACCCUUAUCCUUUGUUGCCAGCGAUUCGGUCGGGAACUCAAAGGAGACUGCCGGUGAUAAACCGGAGGAAGGUGGGGAUGACGUCAAGUCAUCAUGGCCCUUACGAGUAGGGCUACACACGUGCUACAAUGGCGUAUACAAAGAGAAGCGACCUCGCGAGAGUAAGCGGACCUCAUAAAGUACGUCGUAGUCCGGAUUGGAGUCUGCAACUCGACUCCAUGAAGUCGGAAUCGCUAGUAAUCGUAGAUCAGAAUGCUACGGUGAAUACGUUCCCGGGCCUUGUACACACCGCCCGUCACACCAUGGGAGUGGGUUGCAAAAGAAGUAGGUAGCUUAACCUUCGGGAGGGCGCUUACCACUUUGUGAUUCAUGACUGGGGUGAAGUCGUAACAAGGUAACCGUAGGGGAACCUGCGGUUGGAUCACCUCCUUACCAAAAAGA
RNAcentral lists this ribosomal RNA (1554 nucleotides) under Pectobacterium polaris. RNAcentral's name for it is "bacterial SSU rRNA". The record is from RNAcentral. Lineage: Bacteria; Pseudomonadati; Pseudomonadota; Gammaproteobacteria; Enterobacterales; Pectobacteriaceae.